UUCUCCUUAGCUCAGUAGGAGAGCAUCUGCUUUGCAUGCAGAAGGUCGCAGGUUCAACUCCUGUCGGGGUUUGGAAA
Molecule: non-coding RNA, 77 nt
Organism: Podarcis lilfordi (Lilford's wall lizard)
Lineage: Eukaryota; Metazoa; Chordata; Lepidosauria; Squamata; Lacertidae
Source: the annotation of a GenBank genome assembly